UGUUUUUGUUUUGUUUGUUUGUUUUCUUUUGGCAGAUUUGUCCACAUCUCUGCCCUGCUUCAAAUCUUUCAGAAGCUCCCCAUCACCCACAGGGAUGAUCUUUCUGAAAUGGAUUUGGCCAUGCCAGUCUCCUGCCUGAAACAGUCCUCCUGACUCCUUGUCACUCAAAGGAAAAGGCAAACUCCUCAAGACUGCACAUAACACCCACCUUCCCAACCAUCCUCACCUACUACCACUCUCUCCUACACCCUACCUUCCAAACCCUACUUGAGGUUCACCCUCACAUGCUGGAGUUUUCCCAUCUCUGGGACUUCGUUCAGGCAGUUCCUCCUGGCUUCGGAGCCUUCUUUGUUCCUAAAGUUCAUACUUUAAGACCUAGCUGAAAUAUCAAGGCUUCCUGGACUCUGCAGGUGACACGAGCCACUGUCUCCUGGAUGCUUCAGAACCUGUGUAGAUCUCUCUCUUCACUCCUACUAUGGCAUCUCCUAGCAUGUUCUACACUGAGCUCCACUGGGCCUUGCAUGUCAGUAUCCCGAAUUCUGAAUGAAGCUUGGAACAUGGGAGGUGCAUCCACUAACAACAUGAAGAAUGAAGAUAUGUAUGAGUAAAUGAACAGUUCUCUUCUCACAGCAGAGUCAUCUCCUCUGCAGGCUUGCCUGACUCAGAUGUCUCUUUGCCAUUUUUGGAGGCACGGAAGAGAGACAUGCUCCUGAGUGUGAUGGCCUAUGACCGGUUUGUAGCCAUCUGUCACCCUCUAUAUCAUUCAGCCAUCAUGAGCCCGUGUUUCUGUGGCUUCCUAGUUUUGUUGUCUUUUUCUUCUUCUCAGUCUUUUAGACUCCCAGCUGCACCACUUGAUUGCCUUGCUAAUGACCUACUUCAAGGAUGUGGAAAUUCCGAAUUUCUUCUGUGAUCCUUCUCAACUCCCCCAUCUUGCAUGUUGUGAUGCCUUCACCAAUAACAUCAUCAUGUAUUUCCCUGC
Pongo pygmaeus (Bornean orangutan) is the source of this 979-nucleotide long non-coding RNA. RefSeq lists it as uncharacterized. The record is from RefSeq and is a predicted model, not a curated record. The transcript is spliced from 2 exons. Lineage: Eukaryota; Metazoa; Chordata; Mammalia; Primates; Hominidae.